UAGUGACCCGGUAGUUCUGUGUGGAAGGGCUAUCGUUCAACGGAUAAAAGGUACCCCGGGGAUAACAGGCUUAUCGCUCCCGAGCGUCCAUAGCGGCGGAGCGGUUUGGCACCUCGAUGUCGGCUCAUCGCAUCCUGGGGCUGAAGGCGGUCCCAAGGGUUGGGCUGUUCGCCCAUUAAAGCGGUACGCGAGCUGGGUUCAGACCGGCGUGAGCCAGGUCGGUCCCUAUCUGCUGUGGGCGCUGCANUAUUGACCAGAUUUCUCCCUAGUACGAGAGGAUUGGGAGGGACUCACCCCUGGUGUGCCAGCUGGACCGCUCGGUCCACCGCUGGGUAGCUAAGUGGGGCAGGGAUAACCGCUGAAAGCAUCUAAGCGGGAAGCCCUCUGGAAGAUGAGUAAUGCGCGUCUUAUGACGAGAGACCCCCGGAAGACCACCGGGUUGAUAGGCCGCACGUGCAAGGACAGAAAUGUCUUCAGCGAAGCGGUACUAAUGGUCGAGGCCUGGUCAUC
This 510-nucleotide ribosomal RNA is filed under the name Phycisphaerae bacterium. Its description in RNAcentral is "bacterial LSU rRNA". It matches the Rfam family "Bacterial large subunit ribosomal RNA", at positions 2413 to 2925 of the family's 2925-position model. Lineage: Bacteria; Pseudomonadati; Planctomycetota; Phycisphaerae. The record is from RNAcentral.